Molecule: ribosomal RNA, 253 nt
Filed under: uncultured bacterium
Lineage: Bacteria
Description: partial 16S ribosomal RNA
Rfam family: Bacterial small subunit ribosomal RNA
Source: RNAcentral
UACGUAGGGUGCAGGCGUUAAUCGGAAUUACUGGGCGUAAAGCGUGCGCAGGCGGUUUCUUAAGUCAGAUGUGAAAGCCCCGGGCUUAACCUGGGAACUGCGUUUGAAACUGGGAGACUUGAGUGUGGCAGAGGGGGGUGGAAUUCCACGUGUAGCAGUGAAAUGCGUAGAUAUGUGGAGGAACACCGAUGGCGAAGGCAGCCCUCUGGGUUAACACUGACGCUCAUGCACGAAAGCGUGGGGAGCAAACAGG